RNAcentral lists this ribosomal RNA (460 nucleotides) under uncultured bacterium. RNAcentral's name for it is "partial 16S ribosomal RNA". It matches the Rfam family "Bacterial small subunit ribosomal RNA", at positions 338 to 795 of the family's 1533-position model. The record is from RNAcentral.
CCUACGGGAGGCAGCAGUGAGGAAUAUUGGUCAAUGGACGCAAGUCUGAACCAGCCAUGCCGCGUGCAGGAAGACGGCUCUAUGAGUUGUAAACUGCUUUUGUACGAGGGUAAACGCAGAUACGCGUAUCUGUCUGCAAGUAUCGUACGAAUAAGGAUCGGCUAACUCCGUGCCAGCAGCCGCGGUAGUACGGAGGAUUCAAGCGUUAUCCGGAUUUAUUGGGUUUAAAGGGUGCGUAGGCGGUCGGAUAAGUUAGAGGUGAAAUCCCGAGGCUCAACUUCGGAAUUGCCUCUGAUACUGUUCGGCUAGAGAGUAGGUGCGGGAGGCGGAAUGUAUGGUGUAGCGGUGAAAUGCUUAGAGAUCAUACAGAACACCGAUUGCGAAGGCAGCUUACCAAGCUACUUCUGACGUUGAGGCACGAAAGCGUGGGGAGCAAACAGGAUUAGAUACCCGGGUAGUC